Molecule: ribosomal RNA, 91 nt
Filed under: Prunus dulcis (almond)
Lineage: Eukaryota; Viridiplantae; Streptophyta; Magnoliopsida; Rosales; Rosaceae
Source: RNAcentral
AGUUUUAAUAAAUCCAACUUGCUAAGAAAGUUUGGGGGCGAUAGUAGUACUAGGAUGGGUAACCUCCUGGGAAGCCCUUGUGUUGCAUCUA